RNAcentral lists this ribosomal RNA (400 nucleotides) under uncultured bacterium. RNAcentral's name for it is "bacterial SSU rRNA". It matches the Rfam family "Bacterial small subunit ribosomal RNA", at positions 355 to 747 of the family's 1533-position model. The record is from RNAcentral.
UGGGGAAUUUUGGACAAUGGGCGAAAGCCUGAUCCAGCCAUACCGCGUGCGGGAAGAAGGCCUUCGGGUUGUAAACCGCUUUUGUCAGGGAAGAAAUCUUCUGGGCUAAUACCUCGGGAGGAUGACGGUACCUGAAGAAUAAGCACCGGCUAACUACGUGCCAGCAGCCGCGGUAAUACGUAGGGUGCGAGCGUUAAUCGGAAUUACUGGGCGUAAAGCGUGCGCAGGCGGUUAUGUAAGACAGAUGUGAAAUCCCCGGGCUCAACCUGGGAACUGCGUUUGUGACUGCAUAACUAGAGUACGGCAGAGGGAGGUGGAAUUCCACGUGUAGCAGUGAAAUGCGUAGAUAUGCGGAGGAACACCAAUGGCGAAGGCAAUCCCCUGGACCUGUACUGACGCU